This 253-nucleotide ribosomal RNA is filed under the name uncultured bacterium. RNAcentral's name for it is "partial 16S ribosomal RNA". It matches the Rfam family "Bacterial small subunit ribosomal RNA", at positions 524 to 776 of the family's 1533-position model. The record is from RNAcentral.
UACGGGGGGGGCAAGCGUUGUUCGGAAUUACUGGGCGUAAAGGGCUCGUAGGCGGCCAACUAAGUCCGACGUGAAAUCCCAAGGCUUAACCUUGGAACUGCGUCGGAUACUGGAUGGCUUGAAUUCGGGAGAGGGAUGCAGAAUUCCAGGUGUAGCGGUGAAAUGCGUAGAUAUCGGGAGGAACACCAGUGGCGAAGGCGACUACCUGGCCCAUUCUUGACGCUGAGGCGCGAAAGCUAGGGGAGCGAACGGG